This 253-nucleotide unclassified non-coding RNA is filed under the name Talaromyces sp. RNAcentral's name for it is "partial internal transcribed spacer region". The stretch from base 1 to 46 matches the Rfam family "Eukaryotic small subunit ribosomal RNA", at positions 1786 to 1831 of the family's 1831-position model. Lineage: Eukaryota; Fungi; Ascomycota; Eurotiomycetes; Eurotiales; Trichocomaceae. RNAcentral also lists the same sequence under 1 other name. The record is from RNAcentral.
AAGUCGUAACAAGGUUUCCGUAGGUGAACCUGCGGAAGGAUCAUUACCGAGUGCGGGCCCUCGCGGCCCAACCUCCCACCCUUGUCUCUAUACACCUGUUGCUUUGGCGGGCCCACCGGGGCCACCUGGUCGCCGGGGGACGCACGUCUCCGGGCCCGCGCCCGCCGAAGCGCUCUGUGAACCCUGAUGAAGAUGGGCUGUCUGAGUACUGUGAAAAUUGUCAAAACUUUCAACAAUGGAUCUCUUGGUUCCG